RNAcentral lists this ribosomal RNA (370 nucleotides) under uncultured bacterium. RNAcentral's name for it is "bacterial SSU rRNA". It matches the Rfam family "Bacterial small subunit ribosomal RNA", at positions 29 to 416 of the family's 1533-position model. The record is from RNAcentral.
AACGAACGCUGGCGGCGUGGAUUAGGCAUGCAAGUCGAACGGACACUUAGCUUUUUCGAGUGUUAGUGGCGAAAGGGUGAGUAACACGUGGGAACCUGCCUCGAAGUUCGGAAUAACCGCGGGAAACUGCGGCUAAUACCGGAUGUGGCCUGAGGGUCAAAGGCGCAAGUCGCUUCGAGAGGGGCCCGCGUCCGAUUAGCUAGUUGGUGGGGUAACGGCCUACCAAGGCGACGAUCGGUAGCUGGUCGAGAGGAUGAUCAGCCACACUGGGACUGAGACACGGCCCAGACUCCUACGGGAGGCAGCAGUGGGGAAUAUUGGACAAUGGGGGAAACCCUGAUCCAGCAAUGCCGCGUGGGUGAUGAAGGCC